RNAcentral lists this ribosomal RNA (460 nucleotides) under uncultured bacterium. RNAcentral's name for it is "partial 16S ribosomal RNA". It matches the Rfam family "Bacterial small subunit ribosomal RNA", at positions 338 to 795 of the family's 1533-position model. The record is from RNAcentral.
ACUACGGGUGGCAGCAGUGAGGAAUAUUGGUCAAUGGGCGGAAGCCUGAACCAGCCAAGUAGCGUGCAGGAUGACGGCCCUACGGGUUGUAAACUGCUUUUAUACGGGAAUAACGCGCCUUACGUGUAGGGCUUUGCAUGUACCGUAUGAAUAAGGACCGGCUAAUUCCGUGCCAGCAGCCGCGGUAAUACGGAAGGUCCGGGCGUUAUCCGGAUUUAUUGGGUUUUAAGGGAGCGUAGGCCGCAUGUCAAGCGUGAUGUGAAAUGUCCGGGCUCAACCCGGGCCUUGCAGCGCGAACUGGCGGGCUUGAGUCCGCGGAAAGCAGGCGGAAUUCGUCGUGUAGCGGUGAAAUGCUUAGAUAUGACGAAGAACCCCGAUUGCGAAGGCAGCUUGCUGCAGCGGAACUGACGCUGAUGCUCGAAAGCGCGGGUAUCGAACAGGAUUAGAUACCCGAGUAGUC